Molecule: long non-coding RNA, 295 nt
Organism: Eleginops maclovinus (Patagonian blennie)
Lineage: Eukaryota; Metazoa; Chordata; Actinopteri; Perciformes; Eleginopidae
Exons: 3
Source: RefSeq, a predicted model, not a curated record
CCCCCCCCCCCUCUCUCCACAGAGACCCCUCCUCUUCAUAGCCCCCCCUCACCUGUCUGCACAGAAAGGCAGCCAAUGGGAGCAGAGCAGGAGGUCAUACGCCGAGGAGCUGCAGGGCAUCGACUUCAGCUGCCCCCCCUCAGACCCUCUCAGCAGAAGGCUUAAGGCCCUGAGUCUGGACCCUCAUCAGGUAGUCUCACCUGUAUGGACCAGCCAAUCAGGAGCAGACCCCGACACCUCAGGAUCUGUGGUCCUGCUUCCAGCUUCAGGACAACCGGCUGCAGCGGACCACAUC